CCGCAUGUGCUCUGGAGGAAGGCCGCGGGGGCAUCUGCAGUCAGGAAAGACAAAAUGGAGCCACGCAGGGGAAAGCAGCAUGGGGUGGGGGAAGAUGGCACGUUCCCAGCGCAGGGAGAGGAAGAACAGGUGCUUCUCCGAGGAAGACUGCCGCUACUCCCCGGGCCCUGGCAGCCUGCCUAGCCGCAGAGCCGUGCGCUUGCCGGCCUCCUGGCAGCGGAGCCUGCGGCGGAACCACCACAGUGAAGCAUUCUGUACCCUCGCAGCUGCUCUCCCGAAAACUGCAGGUCCUCCAGGAGGCCGAAAUAAACCUACGUGCAACUUGUCUUCCAGGAGAGGAGAAAGUAUGUUUCCCGACGCGAAAUGAUGUUUAAGAUCCCCGCCCAAACCCCCAAUCCUGCAUUUAAGCAUCCACUGGACUGCUAACGGGAUUGUUCUUAAGCUUGGCAUUUGCAAGGCGUAGAUUUUUCUGUGUUCUCUCCUCUGCCAAGUUUGCCUCCUCUGAGGCUCUCUGGGGGAGUAUUUGCAACUCUGCAGUUCAGUUUGAGGAAAGAAAAGUCCCCAAAGCAAUCAUGUAGUCUUUAAAAUACUCUUAUGUAAAUCAAGCUAAAGUGUCUCUAAAUUCAUUAGGGUUACUUGCCCUGGAGGGACCUAGCAAAAUUGGCAGAGACAUUUUCACUAUCUAGACUGUGGUUGUUGACCUUUUCUUCUGUCUUGCUUACACUUUCCUAGGGAGGAGGCAGGAACUCCAGAGAGGCUUAUCGGAUUGGCAGAAGGACAGCCCCCACUAAAAAUGCCUGUUACACACCUUCUGGGAACUGCCCUCCUCUUUCCCCUCCUCCCAGCCCCAGCUGGAAUUCCCAAAUGUAGCCUAAACCAGCACCAGGCC
Cebus imitator (Panamanian white-faced capuchin) is the source of this 889-nucleotide long non-coding RNA. RefSeq lists it as uncharacterized. Lineage: Eukaryota; Metazoa; Chordata; Mammalia; Primates; Cebidae. The record is from RefSeq and is a predicted model, not a curated record. The transcript has a single exon.